Long non-coding RNA from Musa acuminata AAA Group (dessert banana), 1143 nucleotides. RefSeq lists it as uncharacterized. The record is from RefSeq and is a predicted model, not a curated record. The transcript has 4 exons. Lineage: Eukaryota; Viridiplantae; Streptophyta; Magnoliopsida; Zingiberales; Musaceae.
ACAACAUGCCUCUCUGCCCUCUUCCCCGACGGCCUUUUCCUCGCCGCUUGCACGCCCCCUGCUGUCUGCGGCACCGUCGUUUGCCCACGCCCCAGCGAAUCCACUCUCCGCGUCAUUCGCGAAUGCAUCCACCGAUUCUAUCAGGAAAUCCAAACCCUCGAUCGCCAUGGCCAGAUUUGGGAGAAGAGAGACUCGCAUUCGUAUAUUUCCCGGUCGAGGAGUGGCUCUCUCCGCGGCGGACGUCGAGACCGUGUACCCGAUCCUCUCCAAUGUUUUGAGCCUCGAUGAGUCCGCCCUCGCCCAGAUCGAGAACCGCCCGGAAUUCUGCUCCUGCCUUCUUGAGAUCGUCACGGCGAGGGAUUCGGGUCGCCGGGAUGAUGUUCGCCUCCUGGCCUCCGUGUAUUUCUAGAACAGUAUCGGUCCGCUCCUGGAGGCCUCGCCGUGAUAUCCUGACAGCUGUCCCACUCGAAGCAUGGAACUUUCCAUGGUUUGACUGCUGUACUUGAGCGUUCUAUUGGAUUGACAAAGCUUGCAUGGGCAUUAUACUUGGCACAUUUUCUCAUACUUCUGAUAACUGGGCCCUGCUUUCUAGAAACUCAUCCUAACUGGGCCCUGUUCAUAAUCCUUCCGUGACACCAGUGUGUGCUUCUUCUGCCACCAUUCUUGACAGGGUGUUGGUGAUGAAUACCAACUAUUUUGCUCAAUUAGCAUCUGAACCAUCUCUUGCUAUGGCCCUUCAGCAGGCAGGACUUUCCAUCAGCCAGAAAGUAAUUCUUUGUUUGGCUCAUAUAUGGGUUGAUAAGGUAUUUUGUAAAGGGUGUAGCUUGUUGACUUUUCGUCCCACAUUGCUCUGGAUCCAUCCAACUUUACAGACCUUUCGAAAAUAACAAUCACUGGAAGUACUUCAAACUCGCAGCCGGAUGUCCAUCUUGAAUGAAUGAAUGUUCAACUCCAGUUCAUUUGGCUGAAGGGAAUGUGUCCCUGAGAAGCAGGUAACACUUUUAGAUACCCUGCUACAUGGUGAUUAUUCAUAUUUGCACAUUUCCGUCAGUGGCUGUGUGGAACUUGGAAUGGGAAUUCAAAGAAAUAUAACUCGUCAUGGAAAAUAAUCUUUCUUGCGUGGGUAAAUUACCAAUUGUUUUU